Molecule: long non-coding RNA, 8322 nt
Filed under: Brassica napus (rape)
Lineage: Eukaryota; Viridiplantae; Streptophyta; Magnoliopsida; Brassicales; Brassicaceae
Description: long non-coding RNA (BNAP_LNC015862)
Source: RNAcentral
UCUGAAUAAUACUUAAAUAAAAUGAGUAAAUAGAGUAAGCAACAAAAUGAAUAAAAGCACAUGAGUUCAAGAUCUUCUCUGUUUUGCAGUGUUGAUUUAUCUCUCCAAUUCUAAAGUCACCCCUUUCAAUGGUGGCUUCUUGCUUCCUCCAAAUUAGGUCUAAAAAGGUCUCUAGGCAAAUCUGCCUCUAAAAUGAUACAAAACCCUAAGAAAUAGCCUAACAUGCGGCCAGAGACUUAAAAUGUAAUUAUUGAAACUUUUGUGAAACUUUAAUUCUUCUAAUUUGUCAUUAACUCUCGGGUGGCUUCGCCGUCGAUCGAUAUGAAGAGCUCAUCAUCGAUCGAUAUUCCUUGGUAACUAUCGGUCGAUAUUCUGACAAAUAAUCGACCAUCCAGCAAAGUUCAGAAAGUCUCCAAAUAACUCCAAAUACAUCAUUUUCUUCCAGAUAAUACCUGAACCUUUAAGUAUUCUAAAUAGACUCUAUAUAGUAAUAAUAUAUCUUAAAACACUCAUAAACCAUGAUUAAAAAUGAGUAAAAUUCAUAGUCUAUCAGCUACCCGCAAACCUACUAUGAAGAUACAAUUCCGGUCGAUCAUAGUGCACGAGUUAUCUACUGGCCUCAUUUAUGAAAUCUAAAGAGAAGGUUUUGGGGACAAUUAAUCUAUGAAGUCAUUUUUCUGUUUAGAAUAUGACGCCGACCUUAUUCUUCUACUUAAACUGCUUCCGACCUCUGGAUCGCGUUUUCUUCAUGUUUUCAGGUAAAAUGGAAAGUGUAUACUGAAGAGAUAUCUUUCCAUAUUUCAGGAUAUGAAAGUAUCUAACCUAUAUUUUGACUAUAAUGAGCUAUAAAAGAAACUCCAAAACUCUACAAGUGAAAAAUCGACUAUUCUACGCAUCGACUAUAUAAAAAUAGAUUUUUGAACGUAUACGCUCUGUUUCCUGCUCUGUUAAUCAUGGAACAAUACUUUUGAUUGACUAUUCUUGUUUUAUUACGGAAUUUCAUGUUUUUAUAGUAUCACAAAGAAUCAUAUUUUAUUUUACUCUAACAAAACAGAUGUUAUGUAUAACUAAAGUUACUAUAGGUAUCAAUACAAAUAUUAUAAAAUAUUUGAAAAUAGUCAUAUUUAUUUUUCAGAAACAAGAAAAUAAUUAAAUUAAAUAAUUAUAUAAAACCUGUUCUUAGAAAAAUAUUUAACAAACAGAAUUUAUAUUCAAUUUUUGAAGGUAAAAAUAUAUAAUAAUAUGAAAAAAUAUAAUAAUAUAAUGUUAUAACAUAUUCAAACUCGGAAAUUUCCAGUAUCAUUUUUUUACUAUCUAUUAAACACAUAGUAUAAAAUAAUUGAUUAAAGCAAUAGUACACUGUCAAAAAGAAAAAGAAAAUAAGAGAAACCAAACAAGAACAAAUAUUUACAAUAACAAAAUCAUUAUAAUUAUAUAGAUUAUGAAUUCCUUUUGUUAUAUGAUCGAAUUUCUCAACCUAUAAUCCUUGGAUUUUUAAAGAUUAUUAGCACACACAAAAAAAAUUAUUAGCUUUAAUCAUUAAGAAAAGGGCCAACGCGAGAAUAUCUUAUUUCUUUCUGAGGGAAAAGAAAAUUGAUUGGGAAGAUAAGAGGAGCGCGUCUCUAUCCUGCACCACAUGAAACGUGUCACUUUGUAAAUACAUAUCUUUUACAUAAAAUGAACCAUGAUGAACGGCUGAGAUCCAUCUGUGUUGACGGACGCGUUUUAUAUGAAGAUGAAAAAGUCAACACAUCGAACGGCUCCAUCAAAUCUUCUGAAGCUUCCCCGCUUUGACCAACGGGUUGGCCUUCGCGAUCUCUUCGCGACCGGCAGAUUUGAAAUCGAAGGUGCAUCCAUGGACCUCCGGGUACCUGUGGGCCCCGCAAAACGUCGUCCCGCACCGGCACUUGAACCCGGUCAACCCGACCCGUUUCCUACACGUGGUACACCGGUUCGGCCGUUUCUGCUGCUGCUCCGUCGCCGUUAUCGUCACCGGCACGUCCUUCGCCGUUACCUCCAGUUCAGCAGAUGGGUUUUGAACGAGGGGAUGGAUCAACGGAGUAGAGAUGGAAGUUAUCACCGGCGAUGGAGGAGAUACGGCGGAGAGAGAGGAUGAGCCUUGCUGCUGUUGUUUAAGACAGAGAUCGCCGUAGCAGUUGGAGCAUAGAUUCAUGGUUGCGGAGUUGCCGAGGAAGCCGCAGUUAUUAGCACAGAGACGGUGGCCUUCCGGCGUUUGACAUCGAUGCUCUUCCGCCAUGGAUCUUGAUUGUAAUUCAAGAACUUAAAUCAAUGAAGCUCGUCAAAAAUAUCUGAAAACAAAUAAAGAGACAAAUGAUUAAAGACGGUAAAAAAUCUACAGAGUUUAGAAAAGAAGAACAAAACACGAACCGAAUCUGGUCACCGAGAAAGAAAAAUUCAGAAAAUUUUCCUCCGUUUCUCAGCAACCAAACAGAAAUGAAAAACUAAAAAGAGGGAAAGUUUAUUAAAAAAAAAAAGAGAAAAGACAGAGAAGAGAGGAGAGGAAGAAGGAGCGGAGGAGAGAGAUUGUGUUUACCUGUCUUGAGAGAAGAAGAAGAAAGAUGACUCACUGAUCUUUAUCUUUACCAAACAACAAUGAUAAUGGGAAGAGAAAAUAUAUAUACACAGCUACGUUGAGGAAGAAAGAAACAACGACGAAACAGAGACGACUCUGCUCAAGAUUUAAAUAGAAUAAUUAUUUUUAUAAUCUCACUAACUCUCUAAUAAAAUUUAUACUGCUAUAUAUAUAAUAUAAUAUAGUAUUUAUACACGUAAUGCACCUAUUUUGACGAUCAAAUCUUAUCCUACUGGUUAAUAAAUGUCGGCAUGGUGGUGUGUCACUUAUUUGAUUCAUAUAAUAAAUUUGAUUAGAUAGGUCAAACUUUACACCGUGUGGGGGACAAAACUUAGACCAUCAUUAUCGGGAAUCCUUUAAUAGGAUCCUUAAAUAAAAUUAGUGAUUAAAGAAAAAGGUUGUUAUCGAUUUUUAAUGGGCUAUUUUGGUGAUCGGUUCUAAGCAACCACGUGUCAGCACCAUAUUUUAUCUUUUUUUUUUGCUUUUCUUUCUUUUUUUACUUCUCCUCCGUCUUCAGGUCGUCUCCGUCGCUUCUCUGUUACCAGCUCGCCGUCGCGUCUCACCUUCGCCUUGGGUCUUCUUCAUCCUUGUCGACUCAGUCUUGGCUCGUGGUGGUGAUUGAGUUCAUCUUCAGGCCAGCAUACGAACUCAGAGGUAGUGCUUCAUCCUCUGCCGUCACGUCUCACCUCCGUCGCAUCUCUUGCUUCCCCUGAGUCCUACUGGAGCUGGAGCUUAAUCGCCUAGAGAACGAACUCAGAGGUAGUGCUUGAUCUAGUUCUUUAAUGUGUCGAUUCAGAUCUAAGGACUUUGUUUUUUUUUUACUUUGUUCUUGAAUGGUUGGUUUCUCACAUAAGGAUCGAGAGUUAGGGGAAGCACAUACUGAGAUCAGAGCGUUGAGGUUGUCUGAGAGGCAAAGAGAGAAAGCUGUUGAAGAGGUGUGUAGUUGUUGUUAUUAAUCUUCAUCACUUGCUUUUAGUUUCUAUAUAAUGGGUCCGAUUGGUAAUGGCUGUAGCUUUAAAUUUUUUGCUGUAGAAAAAAAUCUGUAGAUUUUUUGCUGUGGCUUUAAAUUUUACUGCUGUAGAAUUUUAUGAAAGCACUAAAAAUUUGCUUUGGAUAUUUGGCUCUGCAGAGCACUUGUACAGCUGUAGGUUAUUUCUAGAGCUGUGGCUUCAAAAAAAAUUUAAAGCUUGAUUGCUCUGAAUUUGGUGCUUUAGAAAUAAAUAAGGCUGUGGACAGCACCUACAGCAAACCUACAGCAACUACCAAUCACCCCCAAUGUCUCUCAUGUUUAUUUUGUACUUAUAGCUUACGAAUGAGCUUACUAAGUUGGAGGAGAAGCUUAAGUUAACUGAAUCUCUUCUCCAAGGCAAAGUAAUUAUUGAAAACCCUCCUUAAGCAUCAAUUCUUUUUUUUAUUUCAGCUGGUUAUUUGAUUAUGGUGAACAAUGUUGCAGAAUCUAGAAAUCAGGAAGAUCAAUGAGUAAAAGAAGGCCUCUAUGGCUGCUCAGUUUGCUGCUGAAGCCACUUUAAGAAGGGUCCAUGCUGCUCAAAAAGAUGAUGACAUGCCUCCUAUUGAAGCCAUUCUAGCUCCUUUAGAAGCUGAACUUAAGCUUGCACGCUCUGAGGUAUUUUAGUCUCAUAUUUAGUUUGUGAUUGUCUGCUGCAUUAUCAAAGAAGGUCUUAAUGGCGCUCAUAGCUUUAUUACACAUGUGAAUAUAACUCCGGUCGGUUCAGGACUUUAAACACGGCAAAGCCAUAGCCAAAGACUAAAAAGGUAUUGCAUUCUGAGACUUGGAAGCAUGCGUUUUCUGAAUUUGCUUGCAAAUUGUUAGGAUUGUUUGAUUGGUUUGAAUAUGCUUGUUUGAGUUAGGUUGUGGUUAGAAUUUUUUUUUUUUAAGAAUCCUUAUUAAGAAACUACCAUUGGAGGCACAAAAUCAAAUAGUUUCUUAAGUAAAGUUCUUAAGUCCACUAAAGUACAUUUAUAUACUUAAAUAAUCCUUAAGAAACACAAAUGGGUUUUUGUGGAUAAUCAUGCUCUUAGGUUUACCGGAUGAACCUUGAAAUUCACCCCACCCUUUAGGACCAAUCAAAGUGACACAUAGAUUAUUAAUUAAAAAACAUUAAAUUAAAUAAAAAAUAGCUACAAAAAAUAAAAACGCUAAUUUUAACGACGCUAACGCUUCCAGCUAAACCCUAAACCCUAAAUCUUAAAUUCUAAACCCUAUACCCUAAAUUCUAAACCCAAAUCCCCAUUUCUAUUCUGGUUGAUACAUUCGUAAACCUCCAAUUUAUAUUUUUCUUCAUAUUUUUCUCUAGGUGAUCCACAUUCCAUCAAAAGCCAACUUCACACAUAUAAUAACUCGAAAAUGACUAAACAUACUGGAUAAAGAAUGGAAAAAAAUUAUAAAAAAUAUUAAAAUGUGUAAAGAACACAAUAAAUCAAUUCCUCCGGACUUAGAUCAUUGUUUGUCCUCAAACAAAGUUAGAAUCUAAAGAAUGAAAGAAAUGAUUUAAAACACAUGAACUAUCAAAUUCUCAACAACCAUACUUCAACCACAAAUCGAAGACCAACACAAACAAUAAAACCAGAACAACACACCUUUACUAAAAACCCCGACUAGCUCCUUUUCAAAUUUACUCCAUACUUGUUAUCUCAAACCUACAAAAGCCACAUUUUCCAAACAAAAAAACCUUAUAUUAAAUUAAGAGUAGUGUGAGGUUCUCAUCACAUGCAUCAUUCAGGGUAGACGACACUAGGUAUAAAACAUGAUAAUUUGAUGGUGGAGUUGGAGUUGGAGGUGUUUAAGGGUUAACAUUUUGAUGUAGAUGAUGCAUAAUAUCACACAAUAUCACAUAUGAAGAUAGACUUACUGAUUUCCACAGCCACUACUCGUUCUGAUUUCACUUUUUCUUCAACUUUAAACGCGGCUUUCACUCUUCUUGAUUACCCAAUGAAAUACAUGAUUUAUUUGUUGUUUCUUCUCCAUCUCCAUUUUUUUAAGAUGUGAUGAAGAAGGAAGCAAUACUCAUCACAUUUGUGCUCAUGGUGGUUCUGAUUUCACCACUUUUUGAUUCUGCACUUUUCAUUCCUUUAACAGGUUCUAGAGCAGUCGAGGUUCUAAUCGAAUGUAUUGCAGAAAUAACGAGCCAUAAAAGCAAAUCUCUCAACUCGCUUCUUAUUAAAGGCAGCCCCACUCCUAUCUACUUGGGAAAAUUCCUUCACAAUGGUGUCACCAUCCUAGGAUGGAGAUAGAACAUGUCUUCACCACCACUGAAAGGAGAUAAAUAAUAUGAGAAGAGAACUUCAUUGAUCUUCAAACCAAGGUCUGUAAAUAUACCAAGGUUCUGAAUAGAUAUAAGAGUCCUCUAAAUUAGAGGGUUAAGCUGACAAGAUGAUAUCUCAAAAUACUCUGAUAUCUUAACUAUCAAUGCAUGACCUUAUCUCUAAAACCCAACUCAAAGAAGCCACAUAAACAAUGACUUCAUCUAGUCCAAAAUUAGAACCUCGACUAUCAAGAUUAGGGACCUUGUCCUUCUUCGGCAAGAGAAUACCUCUCUCUCUCUCUCUCCAUUAUCUGAUAUCAUCCUCCCGACACCGAAGGAGGUCCUAUCUUGUUAGGUUUCAUGGACACAGCCAUCGGUUCCAGAUUUUUGACCUUCCUUUUAUAUCAAUAGAAGACCCCGAUGAAAUGAUGGAUCCCGAAACAUUAAGACCAAUUUUCUCUUCGAUCUAACCUAACUACGUAUAGAAGGAGAAAGAUAUGUACUACGGUUAGGGGUACCUUCCAUUUCUACCGGAAACAAAAGCAAAAGAUCUACUAAACCCUAGAAUUCUAUGACCAGAGAACAAAGAGAUUACCUUGAUACGCUAGACGGAAGGGGAAUCUAUAAACGAAUUUAAUCCAAGAUUCUGAAGAAAGCGAGAUCGCAAGAAGAAAAUUGCAACAUAUGAGAAAGAACAAGAAGAUUAUGUGGAGAGAGGAAAGAAACCUAAGAUUAUUGCUUCUCACAAGAUAGGAAGACAAGAUUCCCCUGAUAACUCUGACAGACUUAUGUGGCCACCACCAAUCAGAUAAAAUUCUCUGCCCAUUGUAGCAUUCCUCGAGUUAUAUACUGGCUCAGCCAUAACCACUUGCUCAUAGGCAGAAAGACAACAUUUCUCAUGAAAGCAUAUCGACAAAUCUAUCAUCUUGUUCUUCUACAUUCCAUCUAGAUCAUAUGAUUUCACGGCCACUGAUGUCAUGCGCCAUAAGACGGAUCUUGUAAAUCAUUGUAAUGUUAAUCCGAGAUCACGAAUCAACUAAGAUCACAUGAUCACACAUGAAUCUGUGCCAAAACAGCUUACAUGACGAUAAUUUCUCUCAAAUCCUCGUAAUGAGGCAUUUACUACCGAAUUUCAUUAUGGUUUAGGCUAAGAUAAUCUGAGAAAAUCUUUAAGAAGCAUCGUCGUGCUCACGCUACUGAUAUCGCUCAAAUUACCCUAGGGAGUGAAUUACUCUCUCAAAUAAGAGGUUCGGAUGUAGUACUUAGGGAUCGAAUCCACAGAGACUCUAGGAUUACACAAUAGAUUAUGGUUUUGGAAUAAAUCUAGAUUAAAUGGUUUAUAAGUUUUAAAGCAGUUAAUGGAGUGGUGAGCAAGUGUAUUGCUCUAUUGAUUUGUUUUGGGGUUUGUUAACAGUUGGGAGAUUUAGCUAGAUUCAGGUAUAUUCUCAGGUAUGAUAAGUAAAACUUAGGGUUUUUAGGGGUUUAUUGAUGUUAAUCAUUCUUGAAUUCAAACUUUAGAUAUAAUCAAUCUGAUUAUCUAAUCUGGAUCUCGGAUUUCAACUCUCGUAUGUUAAUCACGAGAAAGUGUUGAUCGAUUAUUCGUUACGAAUAUCGAUCGAUACAGCUUUCAAAAUAUCGGUCGACAGGGCUAUCGCUGAGUCGAUUGAUACUUCUUCCAGAGAGCUUUACGGACAGGUUUGAUCUAAAUUCUCUAACUCACUAGACCAACUCUCGUCUGUAUCUAGUCAGUUAGAUCAUACUAGUUAUUUUCAGGUAUUGAGGCAAGCAAUGGAUUGAUCCCAAUUAAUCCUAAGAUCUAAAUUUAAAGGGUGAUCAAUCCUAAACUUAGCUUUAAGCAUAACUAGAUGAAAGAAUUAUAUUUCUAAACACUCUAACAAUUGUUGUUGUUAGUAAUACAUUUAUCAACCUAAUUAGAAACCUAAAUCUAACAAUAAAGAUUACUCAUACAUAUUCAUGGAACACAUAGUUAUGAUGGUCUGAAUAAUACUUAAAUAAAAUGAGUAAAUAGAGUAAGCAACAAAAUGAAUAAAAGCACAUGAGUUCAAGAUCUUCUCUGUUUUGCAGUGUUGAUUUAUCUCUCCAAUUCUAAAGUCACCCCUUUCAAUGGUGGCUUCUUGCUUCCUCCAAAUUAGGUCUAAAAAGGUCUCUAGGCAAAUCUGCCUCUAAAAUGAUACAAAACCCUAAGAAAUAGCCUAACAUGCGGCCAGAGACUUAAAAUGUAAUUAUUGAAACUUUUGUGAAACUUUAAUUCUUCUAAUUUGUCAUUAACUCUCGGGUGGCUUCGCCGUCGAUCGAUAUGAAGAGCUCAUCAUCGAUCGAUAUUCCUUGGUAACUAUCGGUCGAUAUUCUGACAAAUAAUCGACCAUCCAGCAAAGUUCAGAAAGUCUCCAAAUAACUCCAAAUACAUCAUUUUCUUCCAGAUAAUACCUGAACCUUUAAGUAUUC